UGGUGCAUGGUUGUCGUCAGCUCGUGUCGUGAGAUGUUGGUUAAGUCCCGCAACGAGCGCAACCCUCGACCUUAGUUGCCAGCAUUCAGUUGGGCACUCUAAGGUGACUGCCGGCUAAAAGUCGGAGGAAGGUGGGGAUGACGUCAAAUCAUCAUGCCCCUUAUGACCUGGGCUACACACGUGCUACAAUGGGCGGUACAAAGGGUCGCGAACCCGCGAGGGGGAGCCAAUCCCAAAAAGCCGCUCUCAGUUCGGAUUGCAGGCUGCAACUCGCCUGCAUGAAGCCGGAAUCGCUAGUAAUCGCGGAUCAGCAUGCCGCGGUGAAUACGUUCCCGGGCCUU
RNAcentral lists this ribosomal RNA (341 nucleotides) under uncultured Anoxybacillus sp. RNAcentral describes it as "bacterial SSU rRNA". It matches the Rfam family "Bacterial small subunit ribosomal RNA", at positions 1039 to 1382 of the family's 1533-position model. The record is from RNAcentral. Lineage: Bacteria; Bacillati; Bacillota; Bacilli; Caryophanales; Anoxybacillaceae.